RNAcentral lists this transfer RNA (77 nucleotides) under Linyphia triangularis. RNAcentral's name for it is "tRNA-Asp". The record is from RNAcentral. Lineage: Eukaryota; Metazoa; Arthropoda; Arachnida; Araneae; Linyphiidae.
AUUUAAAUAGUUAAGUUAAUAUUAAUUUGUCAAAUUAAAGAUAUAGAAUUCCUCAGUUAAUACCCCUAUCUUGAUUA